This is a non-coding RNA of Pelobates cultripes (western spadefoot toad), 479 nucleotides long. The record is from the annotation of a GenBank genome assembly. NCBI's taxonomy places the organism in Eukaryota, Metazoa, Chordata, Amphibia, Anura, Pelobatidae.
GCCAAUACCAUGCACAUACAUUUUGGUCUUAAAAAAAAUAAUAGUAAUUAGUAUUGGGUGUGUCACAAACAAGACACACCCAAUACCAAAAUAUUUAUAUUAUAUCAAGAUCAUAGCUCAGUAAGCAAUUCAAGCAGAAUUUAACAUUAAAGAAUAUGAGCGCAAAAUACUGCCAAUUUUCUUCUGCCCAAAACCAAUUUAACCUAGGACUAGACAAUCACAACGCUUGAUGGGAUUAAAGUGUACACCCCCCUCCUACCCAGAACAGAGGUAUGCAGAGGACUGAUUUUAGGAUGUGUGGCACUGGGCCAUAUCAGACUAUUUAGUGAGCCAUAAAUGACCCUUGGGCCUGUACACUUAGACCGCUACAGUAGCACAACACCCAUGGACCUCCGAUCAUAGUCACCCUGGCAUAAUGGGAGAUGGUAAGAAGCUCCUAAAGUAAGUUCUAGGGAUUUUAUCUGUAAGACAGGUUAAAU